RNAcentral lists this ribosomal RNA (502 nucleotides) under uncultured bacterium. Its description in RNAcentral is "bacterial SSU rRNA". It matches the Rfam family "Bacterial small subunit ribosomal RNA", at positions 28 to 520 of the family's 1533-position model. The record is from RNAcentral.
GAUGAACGCUAGCUACAGGCUUAACACAUGCAAGUCGAGGGGCAGCAUGAACUUAGCUUGCUAAGUUUGAUGGCGACCGGCGCACGGGUGAGUAACACGUAUCCAACCUUCCGUUUACUCAGGGAUAGCCUUUCGAAAGAAAGAUUAAUACCUGAUAGUAUGGUGAGAUUGCAUGAUAACACCAUUAAAGAUUUAUUGGUAAACGAUGGGGAUGCGUUCCAUUAGGUAGUAGGCGGGGUAACGGCCCACCUAGCCUGCGAUGGAUAGGGGUUCUGAGAGGAAGGUCCCCCACAUUGGAACUGAGACACGGUCCAAACUCCUACGGGAGGCAGCAGUGAGGAAUAUUGGUCAAUGGGCGAGAGCCUGAACCAGCCAAGUAGCGUGAAGGAUGACUGCCCUAUGGGUUGUAAACUUCUUUUAUAAGGGAAUAAACCCUCCACGUGUGGGAGCUUGUAUGUACCUUAUGAAUAAGCAUCGGCUAACUCCGUGCCAGCAGCCGCGG